Molecule: ribosomal RNA, 174 nt
Filed under: uncultured actinomycete GT37-2
Lineage: Bacteria; Bacillati; Actinomycetota; Actinomycetes; Actinomycetales
Description: partial 16S ribosomal RNA
Source: RNAcentral
AUUACCGCGGCUGCUGGCACGUAGUUGGCCGGUGCUUCUUCUGCAGGUACCGUCACUUUCGCUUCGUCCCUGCUGAAAGAGGUUUACAACCCGAAGGCCGUCAUCCCUCACGCGGCGUCGCUGCAUCAGGCUUUCGCCCAUUGUGCAAUAUUCCCCACUGCUGCCUCCCGUAGG